CCUUAUUGCCAUAGGCUGUGCCCUUGUCAGAUUUCAUAAGCUAGGCUUGAUGGACUUGGUUAGUAUUGGGAUGGAAGACCUCAAAGAAAACAAAGUCUGAGGA
This 103-nucleotide ribosomal RNA is filed under the name Carlito syrichta (Philippine tarsier). The record is from RNAcentral. Lineage: Eukaryota; Metazoa; Chordata; Mammalia; Primates; Tarsiidae.